GAUUAACGCUAGCGGCAGGCCUAACACAUGCAAGUCGAGGGGUAACAGGUGUAGCAAUACAUGCUGACGACCGGCGCACGGGUGAGUAACGCGUAUGCAACCUACCUUUAACAGGAAGAUAGCCCCGAGAAAUCGGGAUUAAUACUCCAUAAUGAUUAAGAAUCGCAUGGUUUUUAAUUAAAGUUCCGACGGUUAAAGAUGGGGCAUGCGUGACAUUAGUUAGUUGGUGAGGUAACGGCUCACCAAGACCACGAUGUCUAGGGGGUUCUGAGAGGAUUACUCCCCCA
This 287-nucleotide ribosomal RNA is filed under the name uncultured Bacteroidota bacterium. RNAcentral describes it as "uncultured Bacteroidetes bacterium partial 16S ribosomal RNA". It matches the Rfam family "Bacterial small subunit ribosomal RNA", at positions 28 to 310 of the family's 1533-position model. Lineage: Bacteria; Pseudomonadati; Bacteroidota. The record is from RNAcentral.